RNAcentral lists this ribosomal RNA (465 nucleotides) under Vreelandella stevensii. RNAcentral's name for it is "partial 16S ribosomal RNA". It matches the Rfam family "Bacterial small subunit ribosomal RNA", at positions 338 to 795 of the family's 1533-position model. Lineage: Bacteria; Pseudomonadati; Pseudomonadota; Gammaproteobacteria; Oceanospirillales; Halomonadaceae. The record is from RNAcentral.
CCUACGGGGGGCUGCAGUGGGGAAUAUUGGACAAUGGGCGAAAGCCUGAUCCAGCCAUGCCGCGUGUGUGAAGAAGGCCUUCGGGUUGUAAAGCACUUUCAGUGGGGAAGAAAGCCUUGGGGCUAAUACCCUCGAGGAAGGACAUCACCCACAGAAGAAGUACCGGCUAACUCCGUGCCAGCAGCCGCGGUAAUACGGAGGGUGCGAGCGUUAAUCGGAAUUACUGGGCGUAAAGCGCGCGUAGGCGGUCUGAUAAGCCGGUUGUGAAAGCCCCGGGCUCAACCUGGGAACGGCAUCCGGAACUGUCAGGCUAGAGUGCAGGAGAGGAAGGUAGAAUUCCCGGUGUAGCGGUGAAAUGCGUAGAGAUCGGGAGGAAUACCAGUGGCGAAGGCGGCCUUCUGGACUGACACUGACGCUGAGGUGCGAAAGCGUGGGUAGCAAACAGGAUUAGAUACCCGAGUAGUC